RNAcentral lists this ribosomal RNA (415 nucleotides) under Halomonas sp. RNAcentral's name for it is "bacterial SSU rRNA". It matches the Rfam family "Bacterial small subunit ribosomal RNA", at positions 505 to 916 of the family's 1533-position model. The record is from RNAcentral. Lineage: Bacteria; Pseudomonadati; Pseudomonadota; Gammaproteobacteria; Oceanospirillales; Halomonadaceae.
GUGCCAGCAGCCGCGGUAAUACGGAGGGUGCAAGCGUUAAUCGGAAUUACUGGGCGUAAAGCGCGCGUAGGUGGCUUGAUAAGCCGGUUGUGAAAGCCCCGGGCUCAACCUGGGAACGGCAUCCGGAACUGUCAGGCUAGAGUGCAGGAGAGGAAGGUAGAAUUCCCGGUGUAGCGGUGAAAUGCGUAGAGAUCGGGAGGAAUACCAGUGGCGAAGGCGGCCUUCUGGACUGACACUGACACUGAGGUGCGAAAGCGUGGGUAGCAAACAGGAUUAGAUACCCUGGUAGUCCACGCCGUAAACGAUGUCGACCAGCCGUUGGGUGCCUUAGAGCACUUUGGUGGCGAAGUUAAACGCGAUAAGUCGACCGCCUGGGGAGUACGGCCGCAAGGUUAAAACUCAAAUGAAUUGACGG